This 161-nucleotide ribosomal RNA is filed under the name Cladosporium sp. F128. RNAcentral's name for it is "5.8S ribosomal RNA". It matches the Rfam family "5.8S ribosomal RNA". Rfam says of the family: 5.8S ribosomal RNA (5.8S rRNA) is a component of the large subunit of the eukaryotic ribosome. The record is from RNAcentral. Lineage: Eukaryota; Fungi; Ascomycota; Dothideomycetes; Cladosporiales; Cladosporiaceae.
UUAAAACUUUCAACAACGGAUCUCUUGGUUCUGGCAUCGAUGAAGAACGCAGCGAAAUGCGAUAAGUAAUGUGAAUUGCAGAAUUCAGUGAAUCAUCGAAUCUUUGAACGCACAUUGCGCCCCCUGGUAUUCCGGGGGGCAUGCCUGUUCGAGCGUCAUUU